Molecule: ribosomal RNA, 252 nt
Filed under: uncultured microorganism
Description: partial small subunit ribosomal RNA
Rfam family: Bacterial small subunit ribosomal RNA
Source: RNAcentral
UACGUAGGGGGCGAGCGUUAUCCGGAAUUAUUGGGCGUAAAGAGUGCGUAGGUGGCCAGGUAAGCGUGGGGUGAAAGGCAAUAGCUUAACUAUUGUAAGCCUUGCGAACUGUCUGGCUUGAGUGCAGGAGAGGAAAGCGGAAUUCCUAGUGUAGCGGUGAAAUGCGUAGAUAUUAGGAGGAACACCAGUGGCGAAGGCGGCUUUCUGGACUGUAACUGACACUGAGGCACGAAAGCGUGGGGAGCAAACAGG